Astatotilapia calliptera (eastern happy) is the source of this 1016-nucleotide long non-coding RNA. Lineage: Eukaryota; Metazoa; Chordata; Actinopteri; Cichliformes; Cichlidae. The record is from Ensembl.
CCUUAAAGACGUCACUUCAAUCCUCACAGUCAUUUACUGCAACUCUAAUAUACUGGGCUAAGGCCAAAAAACAAACAAUCCAUCCCUGUCCACCUACUCACACAACACACUUUUCCGGUGGGAUUAAAUAAGAUCAGAACUUGAGUUGAGUUCAAAGGUCACAAAGUUCAAAGCAUGCAGGUGCUUCAGAAAGCUGCAAGAGGAAGUAAAGAGGGAAAAGCCGAGAAGGCUGUGAGAGAACCACAAUCACGCAAGUUGCGUGUGGUUUCCAGCUUCUUGCCAAGACCUCUCACUCUCUGCAUCCCAGACUUUCUCCCUGAGUUAUCCAAUCUCCCUGUCAUCUCCACUGGCUGCCCUCCCCACUCCCACUCUCGGCCGCACACAAAUGGUUUGAAUAAGACGUCUGCAUGACUGGGCUGCGGCUACAGACGAAAUCCUGAAGAGUGAUAGUUUACUUAGCCUAAAUACCCCCGAUUAGACAAAUUGAAACAUUGUUGUUAUGCGGUGGAAACUCAAGGACCCAUUGGCCGAUUGUGGUCCCCUCGUUCCGGAAAAGAAUGUGCUUUACGGACUUUCGUCAUGUGAAAACCACAAGAUCUGGUACAAGUGGAAAAAACACAAAACAAAACCAAAAAACCGCCCCCGAAAAAACGCUGCCACAAAAUCAACUAAAAUCCUCCACCAAAACAAAAACUGUUAAACAGAAAGUGAACAUUGUCAAAUACAGAUGAUUCACAAAGGAGGCAGGCACACGCGACUCAGGCUUCUGUGACUACUGAAAAACAUGUCUUACCACAAACUGACGUAUGGUACGAGCCAUGAUGUCACUUUUUCCUCUCAUUUUGAACGUCUCCAGGAUCACAAACAAGGCCUGCAUCAACUGAACUGAUCGCAAACAACGUCUCUAAAAAAUAAGAAACCAAUCAUUGGGCCACACAUUAUGAAGGAAUCAUUCAAAAACAAUUUAAAUGACUCAACUUCCGAGUCCCACGGUGUUUAAAGUCAGCCAACUGUCA